This 382-nucleotide long non-coding RNA is filed under the name Lathyrus oleraceus (garden pea). RNAcentral's name for it is "Pisum sativum (pea) long non-coding RNA (PSAT_LNC025520)". Lineage: Eukaryota; Viridiplantae; Streptophyta; Magnoliopsida; Fabales; Fabaceae. The record is from RNAcentral.
UUAUUUUAUGGGGUGACGUCCAAUCUUGACUUUUUUUUCACUCGAAUUUUUCUUUUGAGUAUCACAAUAAUGCAUGAGUCUAUGACCUAGGCAAGUGCUUAUACUUCAUUUCUAUUUUUUUCAUUUCUUUUCUCUUUUUUUUUCCCGGUAGAAGCGGAUGUUUCUACACAAUUUUUCUUUUCAUUUUGUUGCACUUGCCCCUUUUCCAAAAUUUCUUCUAAGGAUUACCACUCCAAACUUAUCUUUUUGCAUAAAUUUUACACUACAACAAUCAUGCCGAGCGAGGGUAGGAAGUGUUUGGCUUAUGGUUAACAUGACGGUUUACACAAACAAGGGGGUACAGGCUCAACGAGGUUAACAACGAAUAAAUACAACAUUAUGG